This 429-nucleotide ribosomal RNA is filed under the name Gemmatimonadota bacterium. RNAcentral describes it as "Gemmatimonadetes bacterium partial 16S ribosomal RNA". It matches the Rfam family "Bacterial small subunit ribosomal RNA", at positions 355 to 776 of the family's 1533-position model. The record is from RNAcentral. Lineage: Bacteria; Pseudomonadati; Gemmatimonadota.
UAGGGAAUCUUCGGCAAUGGACGAAAGUCUGACCGAGCAACGCCGCGUGAGUGAAGAAGGUUUUCGGAUCGUAAAACUCUGUUGUUAGAGAAGAACAAGGACGUUAGUAACUGAACGUCCCCUGACGGUAUCUAACCAGAAAGCCACGGCUAACUACGUGCCAGCAGCCGCGGUAAUACGUAGGUGGCAAGCGUUGUCCGGAUUUAUUGGGCGUAAAGCGAGCGCAGGCGGUUUCUUAAGUCUGAUGUGAUAGCCCCCGGCUCAACCGGGGAGGGUCAUUGGAAACUGGGAGACUUGAGUGCAGAAGAGGAGAGUGGGAUUCCAUGUGUAGCGGUGAAAUGCGUAGAUAUAUGGAGGAACACCAGUGGCGAAGGCGGCUCUCUGGUCUGUAACUGACGCUGAGGCUCGAAAGCGUGGGGAGCAAACAGG